AAUAGAUACCCUGGUAGUCCACGCCGUAAACGUUGGAUACUAGGUGUGGCGGUCUACCAACGACUGCCGUGCCGAAGCUAACGCAUUAAGUAUCCCGCCUGGGGAGUACGGCCGCAAGGCUAAAACUCAAAGGAAUUGACGGGUCCCCGCACAAGCGGCGGAGCAUGCGGCUUAAUUUCGAUGCAACCCCGAAGAACCUUACCUGGGUUUGACAUCAUGGGAAAAGCCGUAGAAAUACGGUGUCCGAAAGGGCCCAUGACAGGUGGUGCAUGGCUGUCGUCAGCUCGUGUCGUGAGAUGUUGGGUUAAGUCCCGCAACGAGCGCAACCCUCGUCCUAUGUUGCCAGCGGUUCGGCCGGGGUACUCAUAGGAGACUGCCGGGGAUAACUCGGAGGAAGGUGGGGACGACGUCAAGUCAUCAUGCCCCUUAUAUCCAGGGCUGCACGCAUGCUACAAUGGCCGGUACAACGGGAAGCGACCUCGUGAGAGUGAGCGAAUCCCUUAAAGCCGGUCCCAGUUCGGAUUGCAGGCUGCAACUCG
RNAcentral lists this ribosomal RNA (539 nucleotides) under uncultured bacterium. Its description in RNAcentral is "bacterial SSU rRNA". It matches the Rfam family "Bacterial small subunit ribosomal RNA", at positions 777 to 1314 of the family's 1533-position model. The record is from RNAcentral.